RNAcentral lists this ribosomal RNA (1496 nucleotides) under Triticum aestivum (bread wheat). RNAcentral describes it as "partial small subunit ribosomal RNA". The record is from RNAcentral. Lineage: Eukaryota; Viridiplantae; Streptophyta; Magnoliopsida; Poales; Poaceae.
CGACAUCAACCAUCUUGGGAUCGAUCGCUUGGUUCAGCCUCAGAGACUAGAGCGCUUUAAGGGGUUCAACAUAGGGAUUUAAAGAUGACAAAAAGGUGACUAUUACGUUCUCUAACUCUCCUAGCGGAACAAGACCAUUAAACCAGGAGUGUGCUCAGGAGUCCGUUAGACCCGGCAACGAACAGACUUGGAAACGAAGAAGAAGUCGAAGCAGCUGCGACGAAGUCAAUAGAAGUCUCCUCGGCACCGAACCCAGGAGAGGACCGUGGAUAACGCUCAGGUGCUGCUUGUUCCUAGCGCCAAGAGUGUUUAAUGCGGUCGGGUAGUCAAGCUCUAGUGCUUGUUUUGGGCGCCUCUAGCUCGAUCCUUUCUAGCUUGCUUUGAGAUGUCUUUGCCUCUACCCUUCUCUAGCCACCAUGGUUAAGGUUUCGUCGCCGCCGUCACGGGAGUAGAGGGGGCGGCAGGCACCUCCGCCCGCUCCGAGCCCCGCGGUGCGCGCGGAGACGGCGCACCCACCACUCCCGACGGAGCCGAUUCGCGCAGCGGCAGCACCCCUCUCCUCCUCCUUCUCAUCUUUACCCGGACGGAGCGGCCUACGGGCGCUGGACAAGCUGCCUUACGCCGACGCCGGUUGCGGCGCGCCACCGUAUUCUUUCUCGGGUUUCGACCUGUCGUACGUUUGAAGACUGGUGCUUUUUAUUAGUUUCUACACGGCUCGUUCGUAACUCUAGAUCCGCGCAUAUACCCAACCGCGUUGCUUCUUCCCCUUGCCUGGAACCUCCAACGACAGCUCGGUAAACCUGACGGACCACGCCUACACCGAGCGGGUGGUGGUGCUCAUCCGCAACGACCGGCGGGCGACGUCGUAGGACGGAGAGGAGGCGGCGGCGCGAAGAGGUCGGCGGCCUGAGCUUGACCUUCCAGUCGUUACACGUAACGGAUGUAAACGUCGCACCUACAUACAGUAGAAGAUUCUACUUGCUCUGCCGCCGCCGCCUCUCCUCCUUCUUGUCUCCUCUUCCCCGUCUCGUCCUUGGCUUAUGAAGCAUCGUUAGAAGGCCGCCUCUACGAACUAAGUAACCGUCUUCUUGCCUUCGCCCGUCAUCCACCAUCACCUUCUCUUCACCACCACUACCGUACCACGUCCCGAGACCCUCGAGAUCAGAGACUCUACACCCAGGGCCCCCACACACGACAGGACCCAGCGCCGGACACGACGACGAGCACGAGCCGUGCAGCCCUACACGUGCUGCAACCCGGUCUUCAUCGAGACUCUACCCGGCACCCGAGUUGAACACGGAAGCGGAGAAAAAAAAACGUACAGAAAAGGAAAAAGGAAAAGAAAACGUCUUAACCACAGUCAUCGUUCAAUUUCGACUACGUUUGUCUAUUCCACAACAAAACAAGAAUCUUUUUCAUUUUUAUUUUUCUAUUCUUUAAAGAAAACCUGUGGAUGUCUACGUACAUACAAACUAUACAAUAAUAGACGUUACCGG